GAAUAUAAACUUUAUGUGUGUGCUCUCCUAUCGCCCGGUUAGCCGGGCGUUGGAGUGGUGCCAUGUCUUAACAAUAAACGACUCUCGGCAACGGAUAUCUCGGCUCUCGCAUCGAUGAAGAACGUAGCGAAAUGCGAUACUUGGUGUGAAUUGCAGAAUCCCGUGAACCAUCGAGUUUUUGAACGCAAGUUGCGCCCGAAGCCUUCGGCUGAGGGCACGUCUGCCUGGGCGUCACGCAUCGCGUCUCCCCCACAUUCCACCUUGGUGGAGGGGAAGGAGGAUGGUUUCCCGCGACUCACCGGUCACGGCUGGCCUAAAAUUGGAGCCCUCGGCAUCGGGAUGCCGCGGCGAUAGGUGGUGAACAAGGCCUCGGCCAAGCAAGCAACCCGUCGCGCAUUGCCGUGCCAAUGCGGGCUCGAAGGACCCUUUGUUGUUGUCUUUAAGGCAACCAAACCGUUGCG
This 461-nucleotide ribosomal RNA is filed under the name Silene nutans. RNAcentral describes it as "eukaryotic LSU rRNA". The stretch from base 80 to 234 matches the Rfam family "5.8S ribosomal RNA". The record is from RNAcentral. Lineage: Eukaryota; Viridiplantae; Streptophyta; Magnoliopsida; Caryophyllales; Caryophyllaceae.